UGGGGAAUAUUGCACAAUGGGCGCAAGCCUGAUGCAGCAACGCCGCGUGAGGGAUGACGGCCUUCGGGUUGUAAACCUCUUUUAGUAGGGAAGAAGCGAAAGUGACGGUACCUGCAGAAAAAGCACCGGCUAACUACGUGCCAGCAGCCGCGGUAAUACGUAGGGUGCGAGCGUUGUCCGGAAUUAUUGGGCGUAAAGAGCUCGUAGGCGGUCUGUCGCGUCUGCUGUGAAAACCCGAGGCUCAACCUCGGGCCUGCAGUGGGUACGGGCAGACUAGAGUGCGGUAGGGGAGAAUGGAAUUCCUGGUGUAGCGGUGGAAUGCGCAGAUAUCAGGAGGAACACCGAUGGCGAAGGCAGUUCUCUGGGCCGUAACUGACGCUGAGGAGCGAAAGCGUGGGGAGCGAACA
Molecule: ribosomal RNA, 407 nt
Filed under: uncultured Leifsonia sp.
Lineage: Bacteria; Bacillati; Actinomycetota; Actinomycetes; Micrococcales; Microbacteriaceae
Description: bacterial SSU rRNA
Rfam family: Bacterial small subunit ribosomal RNA
Source: RNAcentral